AUGUAUUCAGAUAGUUAUCUGAUUUUCCCUUUGUUAUGUUCCAAAUUAUACCAAUAUGGAGUUUGUUUUUAGGCCAGUAUCUGUUUAGUUAGAGAAUUUGUGGAUUUGGUCAAGUGGGAAAAUCAGAUAACUAUCUGAAUACAUUCCCUCAAACCUUUUUGCUGUAUUCAAUGCUCUCCAGAACAACGACUUGUCGUUUUCAGGAGAGCAUUGAAUACAGCAAAAAGGUUUGAGGGAGAA
RNAcentral lists this unclassified non-coding RNA (240 nucleotides) under Hevea brasiliensis (rubber tree). Lineage: Eukaryota; Viridiplantae; Streptophyta; Magnoliopsida; Malpighiales; Euphorbiaceae. The record is from RNAcentral.